RNAcentral lists this ribosomal RNA (680 nucleotides) under uncultured bacterium. RNAcentral's name for it is "bacterial SSU rRNA". It matches the Rfam family "Bacterial small subunit ribosomal RNA", at positions 8 to 692 of the family's 1533-position model. The record is from RNAcentral.
AGAGUUUGAUCAUGGCUCAGGAUGAACGCUGGCGGCGUGCCUAACACAUGCAAGUCGAGCGGAGAUAUUUGGAGUACUUGUACAAAGGAUAUCUUAGCGGCGGACGGGUGAGUAACACGUGAGCAAUCUGCCUUUUACUGGGGAAUAACACUGGGAAACCAUUGCUAAUACCGCAUAAUGUCUUUUCCCGGCAUCGGGGGAAGACCAAAGGAGAAAUCCGGUAAAAGAUGAGCUCGCGUCCGAUUAGGUAGUUGGUGAGGUAACGGCCCACCAAGCCUACGAUCGGUAGCCGGACUGAGAGGUUGAACGGCCACAUUGGGACUGAGACACGGCCCAGACUCCUACGGGAGGCAGCAGUGGGGAAUAUUGGGCAAUGGGGGAAACCCUGACCCAGCAACGCCGCGUGAAGGAUGAAGGCUUUCGGGUUGUAAACUUCUUUGAUCAGGGACGAAACAAAUGACGGUACCUGAAGAACAAGCCACGGCUAACUACGUGCCAGCAGCCGCGGUAAUACGUAGGUGGCGAGCGUUAUCCGGAUUUACUGGGUGUAAAGGGCGUGUAGGCGGGUCUGCAAGUCGGAUGUGAAAUUCCCAGGCUUAACUUGGGCGGGUCAUCCGAAACUGCGGAUCUUGAGUACUGGAGAGGAUAGUGGAAUUCCUAGUGUAGCGGUAAAAUGCGUA